This 506-nucleotide long non-coding RNA is filed under the name Olea europaea (common olive). RNAcentral describes it as "long non-coding RNA (OEUR_LNC004146)". Lineage: Eukaryota; Viridiplantae; Streptophyta; Magnoliopsida; Lamiales; Oleaceae. The record is from RNAcentral.
UUUUUUAGUGGCAAUAGCCAAUAGUAAUCUUUUGUUGCGUUUCAGUAUAUCAUAAUUUGUGAUGAAAGUGCAAGAUGAUAGUUAAAUCGUAUUGACUACCCUUGUGUUUUUCUUUAUGUUGCUUGUCUGUAUAUAUGAGGUUCCUCUGCUGGAGUAUUGGGGUGGGUAGGAUGAGAUGUCUGACAAUGCCUAUAGUUAUGUAUAGCUACAUGGGUUGUUGGGUGCAUUCACCAAGGACAGGACUGCACAUUACAUGGGAAAUGAGAACAGCAGCCAUGUGGGCACUCUUUAACAACUUGUACCAAACAGGAAACAGAUUCCCACUUGGAAUGUAUGUGCAUUUAUACGUCUAUUACUUUAGUUUUGACUUUGGAAUUUAAUUGGUGGAUUCUUGUGAAUUGUUGCAAUUUAUCACUUGAUACAUAAGAAUGUAAACUUUCUCGAGGAUAGUUAACCCAAUCAAACAUGCUACAUGAAUAGGUUCAGUGACAGAAUUUAAAAUCGGG